RNAcentral lists this ribosomal RNA (627 nucleotides) under Microbacteriaceae bacterium Ri3Pt_4393. RNAcentral describes it as "bacterial SSU rRNA". It matches the Rfam family "Bacterial small subunit ribosomal RNA", at positions 387 to 1023 of the family's 1533-position model. Lineage: Bacteria; Bacillati; Actinomycetota; Actinomycetes; Micrococcales; Microbacteriaceae. The record is from RNAcentral.
UGCAGCAACUGCCGCGUGAGGUGAUGACAGGCCUUCGGGUUGUAAACCUCUUUCAGUAAGGAAGAAGCGAAAGUGACGGUACCUGCAAAAAAAGCACCGGCUAACUACGUGCCAGCAGCCGCGGUAAUACGUAGGGUGCAAGCGUUGUCCGGAAUUAUUGGGCGUAAAGAGCUCGUAGGCGGUUUGUCGCGUCUGCUGUGAAAUCCCGAGGCUCAACCUCGGGCUUGCAGUGGGUACGGGCAGACUAGAGUGCAGGAGGGGAGAUUGGAAUUCCUGGUGUAGCGGUGGAAUGCGCAGAUAUCAAGAGGAACACCGAUGGGGAAGGCAGAUCUCUGGGCCGGAACUGACGCUGAGGAGCGAAGGCAUGGGGAGCGAACAGGAUUACAUGCCCUGGUAGUCCAUGCCGUAAACGUGGGGCGCUACAUGUAGGGACCUUUCCACGGGUUCAGUGUCGGAACUAACGCAUUAAGCGGCCCGCCUGGGGAGUACGGCCGCAAGGCUAAAACUCAGAGGAAUUGACGGGGGCCCGCAGAAGCGUCGGAUCAUGCUGAUUAAUUCGAUGCAACGCGUAGAACCUUACCACGGCUUGACAUACACCGGAAACCGCCAGAGAUGGUCCCCCCCUUG